This 459-nucleotide ribosomal RNA is filed under the name uncultured bacterium. Its description in RNAcentral is "bacterial SSU rRNA". It matches the Rfam family "Bacterial small subunit ribosomal RNA", at positions 28 to 507 of the family's 1533-position model. The record is from RNAcentral.
GACGAACGCUGGCGGCGUGCUUAACACAUGCAAGUCGAACGGGAGUAUUGAAGAAGCUUGCUUUAGAGAUACUUUAGUGGCGGACGGGUGAGUAACGCGUGAGGAGCUGUCCUAUGCAGGGGGACAACAGCUGGAAACGGCUGCUAAUACCCCAUAAGCCGAGAGGUAAAAGGAUCAAUCCGGCAGAGGAGGUACUCGCGUCCUAUCAGCUAGUAGGUGAGGUAACGGCUCACCUAGGCGAAGACGGGUAGCCGGCCUGAGAGGGCGAACGGCCAACGACUGGAACUGAGAUACGGUCCAGACUCCUACGGGAGGCAGCAGUGGGGAAUAUUGGGCAAUGGGGGAAACCCUGACCCAGCGACGCCGCGUGGGUGAAGAAAUCCUUCGGGAUGUAAAGCCCUGUUGUAUGGGAAGAGCGGAAGACGGUACCAUACGAGGAAGCCCCGGCAAACCUACGUG